This 72-nucleotide transfer RNA is filed under the name Cytospora mali. RNAcentral's name for it is "tRNA-Ala (CGC) (tRNA-Ala-CGC-1-1, tRNA-Ala-CGC-1-2)". It matches the Rfam family "tRNA". From Rfam's summary of the family: Transfer RNA (tRNA) molecules are approximately 80 nucleotides in length. Their secondary structure includes four short double-helical elements and three loops (D, anti-codon, and T loops). Lineage: Eukaryota; Fungi; Ascomycota; Sordariomycetes; Diaporthales; Cytosporaceae. The record is from RNAcentral.
GGGCAUAUGGUCUAGGGGUAUGAUAUCUGCUUCGCAUGCAGAGGGUCCCCGGUUCAAAUCCGGGUAUGUCCA